CUGUAAUUGUCAAAAGAAAAGCAAAAGAAAAACAAAAACGUUUUUUGGUGACUAAUUCAGUGAGAAACUAUUCUCUGUUUCUAAUCCUUUGUACUUAAAUGCUAUAGCUGUAUCUGAAUAUAUUAUUGUAUUCUAUGUCUUUUUUUUUUUUUUUACAAAAUAAUGACCAUGUGCACGAGGAGGUCAUUGAAUGACUUGACAGGCAGCGAGGACCAUUCUGUGA
Molecule: long non-coding RNA, 223 nt
Organism: Hippocampus zosterae (dwarf seahorse)
Lineage: Eukaryota; Metazoa; Chordata; Actinopteri; Syngnathiformes; Syngnathidae
Exons: 2
Source: RefSeq, a predicted model, not a curated record